AGACCCGAAACCCGGUGAUCUAGCCAUGGGCAGGUUGAAGGUUGGGUAACACUAACUGGAGGACCGAACCGACUAAUGUUGAAAAAUUAGCGGAUGACCUGUGGCUGGGGGUGAAAGGCCAAUCAAACCGGGAGAUAGCUGGUUCUCCCCGAAAGCUAUUUAGGUAGCGCCUCGUGAAUUCAUCUCCGGGGGUAGAGCACUGUUUCGGCUAGGGGGCCAUCCCGGCUUACCAACCCGAUGCAAACUGCGAAUACCGGAGAAUGUUAUCACGGGAGACACACGGCGGGUGCUAACGUCCGUCGUGAAGAGGGAAACAACCCAGACCGCCAGCUAAGGUCCCAAAGUCAUGGUUAAGUGGGAAACGAUGUGGGAAGGCCCAGACAGCCAGGAUGUUGGCUUAGAAGCAGCCAUCAUUUAAAGAAAGCGUAAUAGCUCACUGGUCGAGUCGGCCUGCGCGGAAGAUGUAACGGGGCUAAACCAUGCACCGAAGCUGCGGCAGCGACACUGUGUGUUGUUGGGUAGGGGAGCGUUCUGUAAGCCUGCGAAGGUGGCCUGUGAGGGUUGCUGGAGGUAUCAGAAGUGCGAAUGCUGACAUAAGUAACGAUAAAGCGGGUGAAAAGCCCGCUCGCCGGAAGACCAAGGGUUCCUGUCCAACGUUAAUCGGGGCAGGGUGAGUCGACCCCUAAGGCGAGGCCGAAAGGCGUAGUCGAUGGGAAACGGGUUAAUAUUCCCGUACUUGGUGUUACUGCGAAGGGGGGACGGAGAAGGCUAUGUUGGCCGGGCGACGGUUGUCCCGGUUUAAGCGUGUAGGUGUGUGUUCCAGGUAAAUCCGGUUCACUUUAACACUGAGGCGUGAUGACGAGGCACUACGGUGCUGAAGCAACAAAUGCCCUGCUUCCAGGAAAAGCCUCUAAGCAUCAGGUAACAUCAAAUCGUACCCCAAACCGACACAGGUGGUCAGGUAGAGAAUACCAAGGCGCUUGAGAGAACUCGGGUGAAGGAACUAGGCAAAAUGGUGCCGUAACUUCGGGAGAAGGCACGCUGACACGUAGGUGAAGUGAUUUACUCA
This 1069-nucleotide ribosomal RNA is filed under the name Salmonella enterica subsp. enterica serovar Limete. RNAcentral's name for it is "partial 23S ribosomal RNA". It matches the Rfam family "Bacterial large subunit ribosomal RNA", at positions 711 to 1773 of the family's 2925-position model. Lineage: Bacteria; Pseudomonadati; Pseudomonadota; Gammaproteobacteria; Enterobacterales; Enterobacteriaceae. The record is from RNAcentral.